This 441-nucleotide ribosomal RNA is filed under the name uncultured bacterium. RNAcentral describes it as "partial 16S ribosomal RNA". It matches the Rfam family "Bacterial small subunit ribosomal RNA", at positions 338 to 795 of the family's 1533-position model. The record is from RNAcentral.
CCUACGGGAGGCAGCAGUGGGGAAUAUUGCACAAUGGGGGAAACCCUGAUGCAGCGACGCCGCGUGAGUGAAGAAGUAUCUCGGUAUUUAAAGCUCUAUCAGCAGGGAAGAAAAUGACGGUACCUGAUUAAGAAUCCCCGUCUAACUACGUGCCAGCAGCCGCGGUAAUACGUAGGCGGCCAGCGUUAUCCGGAUUUUCUGGGUGUUAAGGGGGCGUAGACGGCAGCACAAGUCUGUAGUGAAAUGGCUGGGCUUAACCCCGGAACUGCUUUGGAAACUGUGCAGAUCGAUUGCAGGGGGGGUAAGGGGAAUUGCUAGGGUAGCGGUGAAAUGCGAAGAUAUUAGGGGGAAAACCAGUGGCGAAGGCGGCUUACUGGACUGUAAAUGAAGUCGAGGGUCGAAAGCGUGGGGAGCAGACAGGAUUUAGAUACCCUGGUAGUC